Molecule: long non-coding RNA, 733 nt
Organism: Talpa occidentalis (Iberian mole)
Lineage: Eukaryota; Metazoa; Chordata; Mammalia; Eulipotyphla; Talpidae
Exons: 3
Source: RefSeq, a predicted model, not a curated record
UUCACAUAAUCAACGGACUGAGUCAAGGCCUUCAUGGCAAAAACUGUGACAGUUGCAUAAUUGGCACCCCAUCUCAGCUUCAAACCCACCACUCCCCCAGCCCUAGUCCCAGCUCCCCAGAGUCUGGGUUUAUUGUCCUGGAGGGAAGUCUUUGAAUCAGAGAAUGUCACUUCCAGUAGGGAUCUUAAGCUACCUCUUAUCCUUUGUUCUCAAAAUUUGUUUUUGAGGAAUUUAGAGCUAAAUAGAGAUGACCUGCCACUAAAAUCAAGUAAGAUUUUCACAGACAUCUAGCCCCUUCUAUUGCUUGUCUACUGGCAGGAAAAAAAAUAAAAAAGCAUCACACAUGAUAUCCAGAGUCUUUACUCAGCCUGGCAGGAUCUCCUUUUACUGUGUAUGAGCCAGCCGGCCCCUUUGCUUUCCCUUAACCAGCAGCACCAUCUCAGCAAACGCUGAAAGAAGGGGCUUCUGAUGACCCAAGUUUGUGCUGAUUCUCCUCGGGCCAAGGCUGUACCAACCCAAGCAAAAACAAGUAGGAAGAAAGAAAAGCCAUCUUCAAAUCAUGGAAACUGUGAAAAUAUCUCGUGUUCUGAGUUCCAACUUUGAGAUGUGGUCUGAAAAUUGGGAAUCAUUUUGUCCCAGUGACUGCAUCUCCUUAUUUGAAUAGUCUGUAUUUUCAGUUGUUUUUGGUGGUUUGGUUUUUUUGUUUUAAAUGGUGUAAAUAAAAUAAAUAAAA